AUGAAUCUGGUCUUGGGACACUGUCAGGUGGGCAGUUUGACUGGGGCGGUCGCCUCCCAAAAGGUAACGGAGGCGCUCAAAGGUUCUCUCAGUACGGUCGGAAAUCGUACGUAGAGUGUAAAGGCAACAGAGAGCUUGAUUGCAAGACAUACAGGUCGAGCAAGGAUGAAAAUCGGACUUAGUGAUCCGGUGGUUCUGCGUGGAAGGGCCAUCGCUCAACGGAUAAAAGCUACCCUGGGGAUAACAGGCUUAUCUCCCCCAAGAGUCCACAUCGACGGGGAGG
RNAcentral lists this ribosomal RNA (283 nucleotides) under Clostridioides difficile. RNAcentral describes it as "partial 23S ribosomal RNA". It matches the Rfam family "Bacterial large subunit ribosomal RNA", at positions 2235 to 2516 of the family's 2925-position model. Lineage: Bacteria; Bacillati; Bacillota; Clostridia; Peptostreptococcales; Peptostreptococcaceae. The record is from RNAcentral.